GACGAACGCUGGCGGCGUGCUUAACACAUGCAAGUCGAGGGCAUUUCCGGGGCAACCUGGGAGUGACCGGCGAACGGGUGCGUAACACGUGAGCGACCUUGCCUCGUGGUGGGGGAUAGCCGGCCCAACGGCCGGGUAAUACCGCAUAUGGUGCUUUCCUCGCAUGGGGAGAGUAGCAAAGCCCUGGAGCAAUCCAGUGGCGCCACAGGGGGGGCUCGCGGCCUAUCAGCUAGUUGGGGGGGUAAUGGCCCACCAAGGCGACGACGGGUAGCUGGUCUGAGAGGAUGGCCAGCCACAUUGGGACUGAGAGACGGCCCAGACUCCUACGGGAGGCAGCAGUGGGGAAUCUUGCGCAAUGGCCGAAAGGCUGACGCAGCGACGCCGCGUGU
This 389-nucleotide ribosomal RNA is filed under the name uncultured bacterium. RNAcentral describes it as "bacterial SSU rRNA". It matches the Rfam family "Bacterial small subunit ribosomal RNA", at positions 28 to 404 of the family's 1533-position model. The record is from RNAcentral.